UACGUAGGUGGCAAGCGUUGUCCGGAAUUAUUGGGCGUAAAGCGCGCGCAGGCGGGAUAACAAGUCUGUUGUAAAAGUUCGGGGCUUAACCCCGUAAAGCGAUGGAAACUGUUAUUCUUGAGUGUCGGAGAGGAAAGCGGAAUUCCCAGUGUAGCGGUGAAAUGCGUAGAUAUUGGGAGGAACACCAGUGGCGAAGGCGGCUUUCUGGACGAUGUCUGACGCUGAGGCGCGAAAGCCAGGGUAGUGAACGGG
RNAcentral lists this ribosomal RNA (252 nucleotides) under uncultured bacterium. RNAcentral describes it as "partial 16S ribosomal RNA". It matches the Rfam family "Bacterial small subunit ribosomal RNA", at positions 524 to 776 of the family's 1533-position model. The record is from RNAcentral.